Molecule: ribosomal RNA, 114 nt
Filed under: Euleptorhamphus viridis (ribbon halfbeak)
Lineage: Eukaryota; Metazoa; Chordata; Actinopteri; Beloniformes; Hemiramphidae
Description: partial 16S rRNA
Source: RNAcentral
AGCCCAACAGCUAGCCCACCUAAUUAAUUUCAUCAUAAACACAUUACUACCCCCUAAAGCACUAAUACCAAUAAACAAACCAUUUUUCCCCUCUAGUAUGGGAGACAGAAAAAG